GAUGAACGCUGGCGGCGUGCCUAAUACAUGCAAGUCGAGCGAACAGAUGAGGAGCUUGCUCCUCUGACGUUAGCGGCGGACGGGUGAGUAACACGUGGAUAACCUACCUAUAAGACUGGGAUAACUUCGGGAAACCGGAGCUAAUACCGGAUAAUAUAUUGAACCGCAUGGUUCAAUAGUGAAAGACGGUUUUGCUGUCACUUAUAGAUGGAUCCGCGCCGCAUUAGCUAGUUGGUAAGGUAACGUCUUACCAAGGCAACGAUGCGUAGCCGACCUGAGAGGGUGAUCGGCCACACUGGAACUGAGACACGGUCCAGACUCCUACGGGAGGCAGCAGUAGGGAAUCUUCCGCAAUGGGCGAAAGCUUGACGGAGCAACGCCGCGUGAGUGAUGAAGGUCUUCGGAUCGUAAAACUCUGUUAUUAGGGAAGAACAAAUGUGUAAGUAACUAUGCACGUCUUGACGGUACCUAAUCAGAAAGCCACGGCUAACUACGUG
This 497-nucleotide ribosomal RNA is filed under the name uncultured bacterium. RNAcentral's name for it is "partial 16S ribosomal RNA". It matches the Rfam family "Bacterial small subunit ribosomal RNA", at positions 28 to 507 of the family's 1533-position model. The record is from RNAcentral.